AGAACGAACGCUGGCGGCAUGCCUAACACAUGCAAGUCGAACGCCUGUAGCAAUACAGGAGUGGCGCACGGGUGAGUAACGCGUGGGAACCUACCCUGGAGUGGGGGAUAACCGAGGGAAACUUCGGCUAAUACCUCAUACGACCUGAGGGUGAAAGAUUUAUCGCUCUAGGAGGGGCCCGCGUCGGAUUAGCUAGUUGGUGAGGUAACGGCCCACCAAGGCGAUGAUCCGUAGCUGGUCUGAGAGGAUGAUCAGCCACACUGGGACUGAGACACGGCCCAGACUCCUACGGGAGGCAGCAGUGGGGAAUAUUGGACAAUGGGGGCAACCCUGAUCCAGCAAUGCCGCGUGAGUGAUGAAGGCCUUAGGGUUGUAAAGCUCUUUCGGCGGGGACGAUGAUGACGGUACCCGCAGAAGAAGCCCCGGCUAACUUCGCGCCAGCAGCCGC
This 448-nucleotide ribosomal RNA is filed under the name uncultured bacterium. RNAcentral's name for it is "SSU rRNA". It matches the Rfam family "Bacterial small subunit ribosomal RNA", at positions 26 to 518 of the family's 1533-position model. The record is from RNAcentral.